CGGCAGCAGCUGCCCUCUGCAGGUCUCUCUGCGUAAGUGCAGCCUAUUCUUCUAGAAAAACCCAACCCCCAACCUGCCAACCAAGCAAAUUCCUGGGACCCUUCUCUGCUCAGGUUACGCCUCUGCAAUGCUAGUCUCACGCGUUCUAGUCAUUUCUAGUCACCUCUAUCGCUCUGAACUCUGGUAUCUGCUUUUUCAGCUCAGUAAGAUGAUGGCCACUGCUUGGAGCACCUGCCAGUUCCAGAAGCUUUUUAAAAAGAAAACAGCUGUGUUGAGGAAACACUAAGAAUUUUUUCUCCCCUGCGAUGCUGAGAGUCUACACCUGGGGCUGUGUUAG
RNAcentral lists this long non-coding RNA (337 nucleotides) under Ictidomys tridecemlineatus (thirteen-lined ground squirrel). RNAcentral describes it as "lncRNA (ENSSTOG00000029317.1)". Lineage: Eukaryota; Metazoa; Chordata; Mammalia; Rodentia; Sciuridae. The record is from RNAcentral.